Molecule: long non-coding RNA, 512 nt
Organism: Labrus mixtus (cuckoo wrasse)
Lineage: Eukaryota; Metazoa; Chordata; Actinopteri; Labriformes; Labridae
Exons: 4
Source: RefSeq, a predicted model, not a curated record
CAACGAACUAUCAACUUAUCUUUCUGGACCGUCCUCUAAGGUUGAGUUCACUGAGGUCAUAUCCAACUCAAAGAAAUCUGUCUCUCUGUCUCUCUGAAGUGUUUAAUGGCCAUGGCGAUAUGGCAAAGAAAAAAAGCGUUAAUGAACAAGGUAAUGCUGCUGACCAGACUGAAAGAAGAGGAGGUUAUUGUGGUUUGUGAAGUCAAGCAGCACUGGGAGUACAUGAGGAGCAUGACUGAAGAGCUUUCAUCCCAGUGUUCUGAAGGCAUCACCCAGCAAAGCAGCACCGAGGGGUUGACGGAGAGAGGACGUGAGGGGCUACUCUGUCUGCUAAAGAGAAGAUUAUCUGUAGUUCAAGCUCAGCAGGGUGCAGCACGUACAAUAUACCAAAGUGUUUUGGGACUGCAAACGGUGUCUAUGGAUGACUCCUCCGCUGAUGAACAAGAAAACUUGGAAAAUAGCUCCUCCUCUGAUGAAGAACUUUGACUUCCCCCAAAAGGAGUCUACUCUCU